GUGGGGAAUCUUGCGCAAUGGGCGAAAGCCUGACGCAGCCAUGCCGCGUGAAUGAUGAAGGUCUUAGGAUUGUAAAAUUCUUUCACCGGGGACGAUAAUGACGGUACCCGGAGAAGAAGCUCCGGCUAACUUCGUGCCAGCAGCCGCGGUAAUACGAAGGGGGCUAGCGUUGCUCGGAAUUACUGGGCGUAAAGGGCGCGUAGGCGGACAGCUUAGUCAGAGGUGAAAGCCCAGGGCUCAACCUUGGAAUUGCCUUUGAUACUGGCUGUCUUGAGUGUGGGAGAGGUGGGUGGAACUCCGAGUGUAGAGGUGAAAUUCGUAGAUAUUCGGAAGAACACCAGUGGCGAAGGCGACUCACUGGCCCAAUACUGACGCUGAGGCGCGAAAGCGUGGGGAGCAAACAGGAUUAGAAACCCCAGUAGUCC
Molecule: ribosomal RNA, 425 nt
Filed under: uncultured bacterium
Lineage: Bacteria
Description: partial 16S ribosomal RNA
Rfam family: Bacterial small subunit ribosomal RNA
Source: RNAcentral